This is a long non-coding RNA of Mya arenaria, 278 nucleotides long. RefSeq lists it as uncharacterized. The transcript has 3 exons. Lineage: Eukaryota; Metazoa; Mollusca; Bivalvia; Myida; Myidae. The record is from RefSeq and is a predicted model, not a curated record.
CUGUCAGUUAACGUCGAACUGCUCCACGCGUCGCAAUGAACAAGCUACUGCUAACCCUGCUGAUUGUCGGAUGUCUGACAUGUGCUAUAAUACCAGAGGCGGAAGCCCAAGGAGGUUACUGGGGUGGUGGUAGCGGGUCUUGUCAAUGCCGAUACCGCUGCUACCACGGUGAGCGUUGGAGCGGUCGCUGCGGCUAUAGAAGGGUGCGAUGUUGCCGGAGAUGGUAUGGAGGCUACUAGAUCCAAACAACGAGCGUGCCGAGGGUCAGUGAAGCAUAG